UCAACGGGUAGCCGGCCUGAGAGGGUGACCGGCCACACUGGGACUGAGACACGGCCCAAACUCCUACGGGAGGCAGCAGUGGGGAAUAUUGCACAAUGGGCGAAAGCCUGAUGCACCAACGCCGCGUGAGGGACGACGGCCUUCGGGUUGUAAACCUCUUUUACCAGGAAAGAAGCGAAAGUGACGGUACCUGCAGAAAAAGCGCCGGCUAACUACGUGCCAGCAGCCGCGGUAAUACGUAGGGCGCAAGCGUUAUCCGGAAUUAUUGGGCGUAAAGAGCUCGUAGGCGGUCUGUCGCGUCUGCUGUGAAAACCCGAGGCUCACCCUCGGGCCUGCAGUGAGUACGGGCAGACUAGAGUGCG
This 362-nucleotide ribosomal RNA is filed under the name Microbacterium schleiferi. Its description in RNAcentral is "bacterial SSU rRNA". It matches the Rfam family "Bacterial small subunit ribosomal RNA", at positions 276 to 650 of the family's 1533-position model. Lineage: Bacteria; Bacillati; Actinomycetota; Actinomycetes; Micrococcales; Microbacteriaceae. The record is from RNAcentral.